GCCCUUGUAGCUCAAUGGUAGAGCGUUGGUUUUGAUAGCCAAGGGUCGGUGGUUCAAUCCCGUCCAGGCCA
Molecule: transfer RNA, 71 nt
Filed under: Phytophthora nicotianae (black shank of tobacco agent)
Lineage: Eukaryota; Oomycota; Peronosporomycetes; Peronosporales; Peronosporaceae
Also listed under: 1 other name
Description: Phytophthora parasitica tRNA-Ser
Rfam family: tRNA
About the family: Transfer RNA (tRNA) molecules are approximately 80 nucleotides in length. Their secondary structure includes four short double-helical elements and three loops (D, anti-codon, and T loops). Further hydrogen bonds mediate the characteristic L-shaped molecular structure. tRNAs have two regions of fundamental functional importance: the anti-codon, which is responsible for specific mRNA codon recognition, and the 3' end, to which the tRNAs corresponding amino acid is attached (by aminoacyl-tRNA synthetases). tRNAs cope with the degeneracy of the genetic code in two manners: having more than one tRNA (with a specific anti-codon) for a particular amino acid; and 'wobble' base-pairing, i.e. permitting non-standard base-pairing at the 3rd anti-codon position.
Source: RNAcentral